GUGAAUCAUCAAAUUUUUGAACGCAAAUUGCACUCUCUGGCAUUCCGGAGAGUAUGCCUGUUUGAGGGUCAUUAUAAUCAAAAUCGAGGCGAUGCUUUUUGGUUGCCGCACCGGAGUUUGGUUCACCUUACCUUUUUUUUUUAGAAGCCCUAAAAUUACCUUUUUUUUUUGCUCACUUUUAAUUCUAACACAUUUUUUUUUAUUCUUCUACCCUGUUGCCAAACUUUUUAUUAAAUCUUAAAUCAG
RNAcentral lists this unclassified non-coding RNA (246 nucleotides) under Glomeraceae sp. RNAcentral's name for it is "partial contains 5.8S ribosomal RNA and internal transcribed spacer 2". The stretch from base 1 to 71 matches the Rfam family "5.8S ribosomal RNA", at positions 84 to 154 of the family's 154-position model. The record is from RNAcentral. Lineage: Eukaryota; Fungi; Glomeromycota; Glomeromycetes; Glomerales; Glomeraceae.